Molecule: unclassified non-coding RNA, 259 nt
Filed under: uncultured fungus
Lineage: Eukaryota; Fungi
Description: partial contains 5.8S ribosomal RNA and internal transcribed spacer 2
Rfam family: 5.8S ribosomal RNA (bases 1-133)
About the family: 5.8S ribosomal RNA (5.8S rRNA) is a component of the large subunit of the eukaryotic ribosome. It is transcribed by RNA polymerase I as part of the 45S precursor that also contains 18S and 28S rRNA.
Source: RNAcentral
UGGCUCUUGCAUCGAUGAAGAACGCAGUGAAACGCGAUAUGUAAUGUGAAUUGCAGAAACCAGUGAAUCAUCGAAUCUUUGAACGCACAUUGCGCCUAGGGGUAGUCCUUUAGGCAUGCCUGUUCGAGCGUCGUUUAAACAUGCGUUGGCAAUUCAUGAUUGAUUGCUCAAAUUCAAUGGCAUUUGAUAAACAGUACAAUGUGACGCAUCUGCCAAUUUCUCUUAGUUUGACCUCGAAUCAGGUAAGAGUACCCGCUGA